Molecule: long non-coding RNA, 1282 nt
Organism: Chenopodium quinoa (quinoa)
Lineage: Eukaryota; Viridiplantae; Streptophyta; Magnoliopsida; Caryophyllales; Amaranthaceae
Exons: 2
Source: RefSeq, a predicted model, not a curated record
GAAAGCUUCUUUAUAUACUCUAGAAGACUUCAAGGAUCAUUUUCAUCUCAAACACAAGUAAAAAAAAUCAAGCUCCAUUGUUAUGUCUUGGUGGGAAUUCAUAGAAUCAUCAGCGCAAAAGAAAGCUAAAAUCGAAUCUUUAACAUCAGCUGAAGGUAUGGAUGCCUUGGAUGACGUUCACCCCUUGAUGGCAACCCAGGACGUUCUGGUGAUGCAUGUGUUCCCCAUUCUUUCUUAGGAGGACGAACUAAGUAUGGAGAGGGUUUGCUAGAAGUGGCGUUUAUGGUGGGGGCUGAGGUACAUUGCUCCCUACCUGCCAUAGCAUGUGAGCAAUAAGAAUGCUUUCGGGGACUGGGCUCUUCAUGAAAUUCUGUAUAAUUUUGGGAGGGACUUCUUUAGCGUGGAUUGAGUAAGACAUGAUAGUGUACUUCGACGACUUUCCUCUACUUAUUUUCAAGGAAGAUUAAGGGCUUGGUUGUAGGGUUGUAGACCUUGUAGUUUUUUACUUAUAAUGGGAGUAGGUUUUUAGGUUGAUGAUGGGUGUUCUAGGUUUACUUUUUCCAUUGUCAUAGCUUAGAAUGUAUGUAGGUUGUGUGAAUGUGACAUUUUUUGGAUAUGUCACUGCUAUGACAAUGUAAUCUAACUUAUUAAUUUGAUUAAGCUUCAAUUAUUAAUCUAGAUAGAUGGAAAUGUAUGUAAUUCAAUGAAGCCUAAUGUAGGAUCUUUUGUAAUGAACAAGGUGAUGGUUGAUGUGAAUGAAUAUAAAUGUUUGUGGCAAAAUACGGGGAUGACUUGUGGCUAGGGGUGAAAGGCCAACCAAGAUCGGAUAUAGCUGGUUUUCCGCGAAAUCUAUUUCAGUAGAGCGUAUGAUGUCGAUGGCCCGAGGUAGAGCACUCAAUGGGCUAGGGUGGCCCCCAUUUCGCCUUACCAACCCCAGGGAAACUCCGAAUACAGGCCUAGAUCGUUUGUACAGACAGACUUUUUGGGUGCUAAGAUCCAAAGUCGAGAGGGAAACAGCCCAGAUCGUACGCUAAGGUCCCUAAGCAAUCACUUAGUGGAAAAGGAAGUGAUCGAGCGAUGACAACCAGGAGGUGGGCUUGGAAGCAGCCAUCCUUUGAAGAAAGCGUAAUAGCUCACUGGUCUAGCUCCAUGGCACCGAAAAUGUAUCAGGGCUCAAGUGAUUCACCGAAGCGACGAGACCUUGAAAGCUGCUUUUUCAAGUGUCAGUAGCGGGACGUUCUGUCAAUCGGGGAAGGUUUUUGGUGACAACACCUGGAGAUAU